This 281-nucleotide long non-coding RNA is filed under the name Vigna radiata. RNAcentral describes it as "long non-coding RNA (VRAD_LNC009227)". Lineage: Eukaryota; Viridiplantae; Streptophyta; Magnoliopsida; Fabales; Fabaceae. The record is from RNAcentral.
AAAUAACAAAAUUUAAGUCUUGUCAAGGAACUAAAAAUAUGGAAAUUGAAAUAUAUAGUUCUAUCUUUCUAAUAUUUUAUAAUCUUGUUAUAAAAGUAAUAUUAAUUUAAAUGUAUAGGUGUGUACGUAAAAGAUAAAAAAAAAAUGAAAAAAAUAACUCAAGAAAGGAAUGAAUCCAAAGACCUUGAAGAAUAUGCCUACCAAGAUUUAACACGUCAGCCCUAAUAUGCAUAGUCACGCGCUUUGACACGAGUUGCAUAUACAGCUCUAGCAGUUCAUCG